GCUGGGGUUGUGGCUCAGUGGUAGAGCACUUGCCUAGAAUGUGUGAGGCACUGGGUUCAAUUCUCAGCCCUGCA
RNAcentral lists this transfer RNA (74 nucleotides) under Marmota monax (woodchuck). RNAcentral's name for it is "tRNA.Ser". It matches the Rfam family "tRNA". Rfam says of the family: Transfer RNA (tRNA) molecules are approximately 80 nucleotides in length. Their secondary structure includes four short double-helical elements and three loops (D, anti-codon, and T loops). Further hydrogen bonds mediate the characteristic L-shaped molecular structure. tRNAs have two regions of fundamental functional importance: the anti-codon, which is responsible for specific mRNA codon recognition, and the 3' end, to which the tRNAs corresponding amino acid is attached (by aminoacyl-tRNA synthetases). tRNAs cope with the degeneracy of the genetic code in two manners: having more than one tRNA (with a specific anti-codon) for a particular amino acid; and 'wobble' base-pairing, i.e. permitting non-standard base-pairing at the 3rd anti-codon position. The record is from RNAcentral. Lineage: Eukaryota; Metazoa; Chordata; Mammalia; Rodentia; Sciuridae.